CUCUAGAAUUGCAUGAAUACAAUUAGCCAUUAGCAACAUCAUUACACACAGAGAGGCCUUAGAUCAGGAAAUAAUAGAAACAGCCACAUACUGCUGAAAUGUGGAGAGGGGAAAAACCACAAAGCAAGAGCCAGCUGUUGAUAACCUUGCAGACUCUGAGCGUGAAGCCAAAUCCUCUAGUGAGGACACCCAUCCCUACUUUGCCUUCUUGUAGUGAAAGAAGGUGUGCAGUGAAGGAAGUGGAUAUUGAACAGGUAUGGGCCUCACCCUUUGUGUACUCAGUGUGCUGGAAAUUCAUGAAUGAAAAAAGACCAGUGAAAGACAGUAAAUCUUCUCACAGCCAGCUCUGGGUGUUAAUACUAUUUUUAAUACUAGUUUUAAAAUCCUAAAACAUUGCAAAGCUAAUGUUACCAUGACUAAGUCUCAUCCCAUCACUGGCACAGUUUGUGAAAAUAUUCCUUCAAGUGCUGUAUCUAUAAAAAGGACACAUCAGUCCUGUAUACAAAUCUCCUUCGCUUAAUGAUUUCUUCAUUACCAGGAGUUUCACAGAAUGUAACUAAGGUCCAAAUUCUGCAUAUCUGUGCUGUCUGUAAUAAGUAUUCAUAAAGCAGGAAUCAGAAAAGGAGAGCUGAAGCCUCAGCAGUGACUUCCAAAUUGAAAAAUGAGAACAUGUGGGUUAGAUAAAUGGAUCUAAGCAAUUAUACCUCUGCACACAACACACAUGGUAGAACAGUGGGCAGCUGCUUCUCUGAUCUAGUCCUGAGAACAACCACAUUCAGUAGAAUUCAGUGCUGGAUGAUGCACCAGCACCUUGCAGCAGGUGGAUCAUUCUCAUAGGUAUCUAGAGAGGAAUCCUCUUUUUGAGUUUGUAAAAUUUUCAGCUCCGCACCGCCACCAGCAAUAGUUGUUUCUGUGGUUUCCUCCUCUGUCCUUGCCCUGUCCUACAUCUCAGUUUUCUGUGUUACUUCCUGCUCAACACACCCCCAGGACUGAUCACCAUUGCAUAGGAAAUCCUGCAUUUCUUUCCUAUAGAUUUCAGACCUUGAUUAAACUUCCAUCAUAAACAAUCACUUCCUUUCCUUUUCCCACACUGGAUGAUACACCCUCUGCAAUGUCUCACAUUUUUGCAAGCAUCUUCAGAAGAAAAAAAAUGAAGAAAAAAAAACAUUAAACAGUUUUUCCUAAUAUCUCAUGUGGACAAGACAAUAGUCAUCAGGCAAGACUGCAGGAUCAGCAGGAGCAAGGUGCUUACUUCUUCCCCUUUAAGAAGCAUAAAAGAUGCAAGUUCCUCUGGUUUAUGUAACUGUCUUUCUGAAAUGAGAUAACGUUACAUUGGACUUUGUAAGAAAUAGAAAGACUCUCUUCAGUGAUGUAACACCUUUCUAAUCUAAUCCCACAUGGCUUGUGGUGACUACUAUGUAUUGUCCUACAAAUUUAUCACAAGAAGCAGAAUUUUGGCUCCCAAUACACACAAUUUUGUUAAAUAGCCUUUUCAAAUUAUUUUUGAUAGGCCUGGUGAGUAGCAAGAUAGAUAGAGUACAAAAGAUUAUUUCACAAUAAAACACACUCAAACUGAAACCUCA
Long non-coding RNA from Coturnix japonica (Japanese quail), 1583 nucleotides. NCBI's taxonomy places the organism in Eukaryota, Metazoa, Chordata, Aves, Galliformes, Phasianidae. The record is from Ensembl.